ACUACAUUAGAUACCCGGGUAGUCCUAGCCGUAAACGAUACUCGCUAGGUGUCGGCCACGGUGCGACCGUUGUCGGUGCCGUAGGGAAGCCGUGAAGCGAGCCACCUGGGAAGUACGGCCGCAAGGCUGAAACUUAAAGGAAUUGGCGGGGGAGCACCACAACGGGUGGAGCUUGCGGUUUAAUUGGAUUCAACGCCGGAAAUCUUACCGGGACCGACAGCAACAUGAAGACCAGGCUGAAGACUUUGCCGGAUUAGCUG
This 260-nucleotide ribosomal RNA is filed under the name uncultured archaeon. RNAcentral describes it as "partial 16S ribosomal RNA". It matches the Rfam family "Archaeal small subunit ribosomal RNA", at positions 723 to 982 of the family's 1478-position model. The record is from RNAcentral.